RNAcentral lists this ribosomal RNA (17 nucleotides) under Diutina rugosa. RNAcentral describes it as "partial 18S ribosomal RNA". The record is from RNAcentral. Lineage: Eukaryota; Fungi; Ascomycota; Pichiomycetes; Serinales; Debaryomycetaceae.
UGCGGAAGGAUCACUUA